This 246-nucleotide ribosomal RNA is filed under the name uncultured bacterium. Its description in RNAcentral is "partial 16S ribosomal RNA". It matches the Rfam family "Bacterial small subunit ribosomal RNA", at positions 107 to 354 of the family's 1533-position model. The record is from RNAcentral.
UGCGUAACGCGUAUGCAACCUACCAUCAACAGGGGGAUAACACUGAGAAAUUGGUACUAAUACCCCAUAAUAUCUCAUGCGGCAUCGCAUGGGGUUGAAAACUCCGGUGGUUGAUGAUGGGCAUGCGUUGUAUUAGCUGGUUGGUGAGGUAACGGCUCACCAAGGCGACGAUACAUAGGGGGACUGAGAGGUUAACCCCCCACAUUGGUACUGAGACACGGACCAAACUCCUACGGGAGGCAGCAG